Molecule: ribosomal RNA, 301 nt
Filed under: uncultured bacterium
Lineage: Bacteria
Description: partial 16S ribosomal RNA
Rfam family: Bacterial small subunit ribosomal RNA
Source: RNAcentral
CAGCAGCCGCGGUAAUGCGUAGGGUGCGAGCGUUAAUCGGAAUUACUGGGCGUAAAGCGUGCGCAGGCGGUUUUGUAAGACAGGCGUGAAAUCCCCGGGCUCAACCUGGGAAUGGCGCUUGUGACUGCAAAGCUAGAGUGCGGCAGAGGGGGAUGGAAUUCCGCGUGUAGCAGUGAAAUGCGUAGAUAUGCGGAGGAACACCGAUGGCGAAGGCAAUCCCCUGGGCCUGCACUGACGCUCAUGCACGAAAGCGUGGGGAGCAAACAGGAUUAGAUACCCCAGUAGUCCCUGUCUCUUAUAC